RNAcentral lists this ribosomal RNA (509 nucleotides) under Salmonella enterica subsp. enterica serovar Newport. RNAcentral's name for it is "partial 23S ribosomal RNA". It matches the Rfam family "Bacterial large subunit ribosomal RNA", at positions 11 to 559 of the family's 2925-position model. The record is from RNAcentral. Lineage: Bacteria; Pseudomonadati; Pseudomonadota; Gammaproteobacteria; Enterobacterales; Enterobacteriaceae.
CUAAGCGUACACGGUGGAUGCCCUGGCAGUCAGAGGCGAUGAAGGACGUGCUAAUCUGCGAUAAGCGCCGGUAAGGUGAUAUGAACCGUUAUAACCGGCGAUUUCCGAAUGGGGAAACCCAGUGUGAUUCGUCACACUAUCAUUAACUGAAUCCAUAGGUUAAUGAGGCGAACCGGGGGAACUGAAACAUCUAAGUACCCCGAGGAAAAGAAAUCAACCGAGAUUCCCCCAGUAGCGGCGAGCGAACGGGGAGGAGCCCAGAGCCUGAAUCAGCAUGUGUGUUAGUGGAAGCGUCUGGAAAGGCGCGCGAUACAGGGUGACAGCCCCGUACACAAAAGCGCAUGUGCUGUGAGCUCGAUGAGUAGGGCGGGACACGUGGUAUCCUGUCUGAAUAUGGGGGGACCAUCCUCCAAGGCUAAAUACUCCUGACUGACCGAUAGUGAACCAGUACCGUGAGGGAAAGGCGAAAAGAACCCCGGCGAGGGGAGUGAAAAAGAACCUGAAACCGU